GUUGGGUAGGGGAGCGUUCUGUAAGCCUGCGAAGGUGUACUGUGAGGUAUGCUGGAGGUAUCAGAAGUGCGAAUGCUGACAUAAGUAACGAUAAUGCGGGUGAAAAACCCGCACGCCGGAAGACCAAGGGUUCCUGUCCAACGUUAAUCGGGGCAGGGUGAGUCGACCCCUAAGGCGAGGCUGAAAAGCGUAGUCGAUGGGAAACGGGUUAAUAUUCCCGUACUGGUGGUAACUGCGAUGGGGGAACGGAGAAGGCUAGGUUGUCCGGGCGACGGUCGUCCCGGUUCAAGCAGGUAGGCAGAGUGAUUAGGCAAAUCCGGUCACUUAAUGCUGAGAUGUGAUGACGAACCACCAAGGUGGUGAAGCAAUUGAUGCCCCGCUUCCAGGAAAAGCCUCUAAGCUUCAGGUUACCAACAAUCGUACCCCAAACCGACACAGGUGGUCAGGUAGAGAAUACUCAGGCGCUUGAGAGAACUCGGGUGAAGGAACUAGGCAAAAUGGUGCCGUAACUUCGGGAGAAGGCACGCUGGCGGUAGGUAAAGUCCCUCGCGGACAGAGCUGAAGCCAGUCGAAGAUACCAGCUGGCUGCAACUGUUUAUUAAAAACACAGCACUGUGCAAACACGAAAGUGGACGUAUACGGUGUGACGCCUGCCCGGUGCUGGAAGGUUAAUUGAUGGGGUUAGCGUAAGCGAAGCUCCUGAUCGAAGCCCCAGUAAACGGCGGCCGUAACUAUAACGGUCCUAAGGUAGCGAAAUUCCUUGUCGGGUAAGUUCCGACCUGCACGAAUGGCGUAAUGAUGGCCAGGCUGUCUCCACCCGAGACUCAGUGAAAUUGAACUCGCUGUGAAGAUGCAGUGUACCCGCGGCAAGACGGAAAGACCCCGUGAACCUUUACUAUAGCUUGACACUGAACAUUGAGCCUUGAUGUGUAGGAUAGGUGGGAGGCUUUGAAGUGUGGACGCCAGUCUGCAUGGAGCCAACCUUGAAAUACCACCCUUUAACGUUUGAUGUUCUAACCUAGGCCCAUAAACUGGGUCGGGGACCGUGUCUGGUGGGUAGUUUGACUGGGGCGGUCUCCUCCUAAAGAGUAACGGAGGAGCACGAAGGUUGGCUAAGCAUGGUCGGACAUCAUGCGGUUAGUGCAAAGGCAUAAGCCAGCUUGACUGCGAGAGUGACGGCUCGAGCAGGUACGAAAGUAGGUCUUAGUGAUCCGGUGGUUCUGAAUGGAAGGGCCAUCGCUCAACGGAUAAAAGGUACUCCGGGGAUAACAGGCUGAUACCGCCCAAGAGUUCAUAUCGACGGCGGUGUUUGGCACCUCGAUGUCGGCUCAUCACAUCCUGGGGCUGAAGUAGGUCCCAAGGGUAUGGCUGUUCGCCAUUUAAAGUGGUACGCGAGCUGGGUUUAGAACGUCGUGAGACAGUUCGGUCCCUAUCUGCCGUGGGCGUUGGAAGAUUGAGAGGGGUUGCUCCUAGUACGAGAGGACCGGAGUGAACGCACCACUGGUGUUCGGGUUGUCAUGCCAAUGGCAUUGCCCGGUAGCUAAGUGCGGAAGAGAUAACCGCUGAAAGCAUCUAAGCGGGAAACUUGCCUCGAGAUGAGUCUUCCCUGUCGCUUUAAGUGACCUAAAGGAACGUUUAAGACUAAGACGUUGAUAGGCUGGGUGUGUAAGCGUAGCGAUACGUUGAGCUAACCAGUACUAAUGAACCGUGAGGCUUAACCUG
RNAcentral lists this ribosomal RNA (1722 nucleotides) under Proteus mirabilis. RNAcentral's name for it is "partial 23S ribosomal RNA". It matches the Rfam family "Bacterial large subunit ribosomal RNA", at positions 1223 to 2925 of the family's 2925-position model. Lineage: Bacteria; Pseudomonadati; Pseudomonadota; Gammaproteobacteria; Enterobacterales; Morganellaceae. The record is from RNAcentral.